UACGUAGGCAGCAAACGUUGUUCGGAGUUACUGGGCGUAAAGAGUACGUAGGCGGUUUGCACAGUUUGGUGUGAAAUCUCCCGGCUUAACUGGGAGGGUGCGCCGAAUACUGGCAGACUUGAGUAUUGGAGAGGAAAGCGGAAUUCCUGGUGUAGCGGUGAAAUGCGUAGAUAUCAGGAGGAACACCGGUGGUGUAGACGGCUUUCUGGACAAUCACUGACGCUGAGGUACGAAAGCGUGGGUAGCAAACAGG
This 253-nucleotide ribosomal RNA is filed under the name uncultured bacterium. RNAcentral's name for it is "partial 16S ribosomal RNA". It matches the Rfam family "Bacterial small subunit ribosomal RNA", at positions 524 to 776 of the family's 1533-position model. The record is from RNAcentral.